RNAcentral lists this ribosomal RNA (512 nucleotides) under uncultured bacterium. Its description in RNAcentral is "partial 16S ribosomal RNA". It matches the Rfam family "Bacterial small subunit ribosomal RNA", at positions 28 to 523 of the family's 1533-position model. The record is from RNAcentral.
GAUGAAUGCUAGCGGCGUGCCUAAUACAUGCAAGUCGAGCGAAUCAAAGGGAGCUUGCUCCCUGAGGUUAGCGGCGGACGGGUGAGUAACACGUGGGCAACCUGCCUAUAAGACUGGGAUAACUUCGGGAAACCGGAGCUAAUACCGGAUAAUUCAUAUCUACUCAUGUAGGUAUGCUGAAAGACGGUUUACGAUGUAACUUAUAGAUGGGCCCGCGGCGCAUUAGCUAGUUGGUGAGGUAACGGCUCACCAAGGCAACGAUGCGUAGCCGACCUGAGAGGGUGAUCGGCCACACUGGGACUGAGACACGGCCCAGACUCCUACGGGAGGCAGCAGUAGGGAAUCUUCCGCAAUGGACGAAAGUCUGACGGAGCAACGCCGCGUGAGUGAUGAAGGUUUUCGGAUCGUAAAACUCUGUUGUUAGGGAAGAAUAAGUACUAGAGUAACUGCUAGUACCUUGACGGUACCUAACCAGAAAGCCACGGCUAACUACGUGCCAGCAGCCGCGGUAA